CCUACGGGAGGCAGCAGUGAGGAAUAUUGGUCAAUGGCCGGAAGGCUGAACCAGCCAAGCCGCGUGAAGGACGAAGGUGCCCAGCAUUGUAAACCUCUUUUGUCAAGGGACAAAAUCGGGCACGAGACCCUGACCGAGGGUACCUGAAGAAACAGCAUCGGCUAACUCCGUGCCAGCAGCCGCGGUAAUACGGAGGAUGCGAGCGUUAUCCGGAUUUAUUGGGGUUAAAGGGUGCGUAGGCGGACUGUUAAGUCAGCGGUAAAAGCCCGGGGCUAAACCCCGGCGAGCCGUUGAAACUGGGUGUCUUGAGAUGUCGAGAGGUAUGCGGAAUGCGCGGUGUAGCGGUGAAAUGCGUAGAGAUUGCGCAGAACUCCGAUUGCGAAGGCAGCAUGCCGGCGGCGAUCUGACGCUGAGGCACGAAAGCGUGGGUAUCGAACAGGAUUAGAUACCCGAGUAGUC
RNAcentral lists this ribosomal RNA (459 nucleotides) under uncultured bacterium. RNAcentral describes it as "partial 16S ribosomal RNA". It matches the Rfam family "Bacterial small subunit ribosomal RNA", at positions 338 to 795 of the family's 1533-position model. The record is from RNAcentral.